RNAcentral lists this ribosomal RNA (253 nucleotides) under uncultured bacterium. Its description in RNAcentral is "partial 16S ribosomal RNA". It matches the Rfam family "Bacterial small subunit ribosomal RNA", at positions 524 to 776 of the family's 1533-position model. The record is from RNAcentral.
UACGGGGGGGGCAAGCGUUGUUCGGAAUUACUGGGCGUAAAGGGCCCGUAGGCGGCCAACUAAGUCGGACGUGAAAUCCCCAGGCUCAACCUGGGAACUGCGUCCGAUACUGGAUGGCUUGAAUUCGGGAGAGGGAUGCAGAAUUCCAGGUGUAGCGGUGAAAUGCGUAGAUAUCUGGAGGAAUACCGGUGGCGAAGGCGGCAUCCUGGACCGACAUUGACGCUGAACGGCGAAAGCUAGGGGAGCAAACGGG